GAAAUGCGAUAAGUAAUGUGAAUUGCAGAAUUCAGUGAAUCAUCGAAUCUUUGAACGCACAUUGCGCCCGCCAGUAUUCUGGCGGGCAUGCCUGUCCGAGCGUCAUUUCAACCAUCAAGCCCCCGGGCUUGUGUUGGGGACCUGCGGCUGCCCGCAGGCCCUGAAAACCAGUGGCGGGCUCGCUGUCACACCGAGCGUAGUAGCAAUCACCUCGCUCAGGGCGUGCUGCGGGUUCCGGCCGUUAAACAGCCUUACAAAACCCAAGGUUGACCUCGGAUCAGGUAGGAAGACCCGCUGAACUUGAGA
RNAcentral lists this unclassified non-coding RNA (306 nucleotides) under plant metagenome. Its description in RNAcentral is "partial contains 5.8S ribosomal RNA, internal transcribed spacer 2, and large subunit ribosomal RNA". The stretch from base 1 to 105 matches the Rfam family "5.8S ribosomal RNA", at positions 50 to 154 of the family's 154-position model. The record is from RNAcentral.